AAAUUUACAGUGUAUUUUCAAGUUACCGUGUAGUUUAUGAUACUUGCAUUGUAACUUUUAUAUGUUUUUUUGUAAUUUUUAAAAUUUAUAUUGGACUUGGUUUUUUUUCUUAAAAUAUGGUAAUUUAGUGUCCAUUAUGGUAUUUCUUAAUUGUUUUUUUACCUUUUACAGUGGCUAUUG
Molecule: small nuclear RNA, 180 nt
Filed under: Oryza sativa Indica Group (long-grained rice)
Lineage: Eukaryota; Viridiplantae; Streptophyta; Magnoliopsida; Poales; Poaceae
Description: U2 spliceosomal RNA
Source: RNAcentral